AUUGAACGCUGGCGGCAGGCCUAUCACAUGCAAGUCGAGCGGAUGAAGGGAGCUUGCUCCUGGAUUCAGCGGCGGACGGGUGAGUAAUGCCUAGGAAUCUGCCUGGUAGUGGGGGAUAACGUCCGGAAACGGGCGCUAAUACCGCAUACGUCCUGAGGGAGAAAGUGGGGGAUCUUCGGACCUCACGCUAUCAGAUGAGCCUAGGUCGGAUUAGCUAGUUGGUGGGGUAAAGGCCUACCAAGGCGACGAUCCGUAACUGGUCUGAGAGGAUGAUCAGUCACACUGGAACUGAGACACGGUCCAGACUCCUACGGGAGGCAGCAGUGGGGAAUAUUGGACAAUGGGCGAAAGCCUGAUGCAGCGGUGCCGCGUGUGUGAAGAAGGUCUUCGGAUUGUAAAGCACUUUAAGUUGGGAGGAAGGGCAGUAAGUUAAUACCUUGCUGUUUUGACGUUACCAACAGAAUAAGCACCGGCUAACUUCGUG
Molecule: ribosomal RNA, 484 nt
Filed under: uncultured bacterium
Lineage: Bacteria
Description: partial 16S ribosomal RNA
Rfam family: Bacterial small subunit ribosomal RNA
Source: RNAcentral